This 465-nucleotide unclassified non-coding RNA is filed under the name Bombus terrestris (buff-tailed bumblebee). RNAcentral's name for it is "misc RNA ENSBTSG00005037464.1". Lineage: Eukaryota; Metazoa; Arthropoda; Insecta; Hymenoptera; Apidae. The record is from RNAcentral.
AAGGCGGGAUCUCCUUCUACGGAAACGACCAAAGUCAUGGUCUCUCCGAUCUUAACGAGGCCAUCGGCAGUAGGCGCGAACGGUCCCCUUCCCACUUGUAUAUCCAACUUAGCGCUCGCUGUGUCACCGCUGAACGUUACUAUUUCUUGAUUCAACAUGUCCACGGAGAAGUUAACCGUCAGGGCUUUAUUGAUGUUUCCUUCCCAGAGGCAACGAACUCUGCGUACCGUGUCCCAAACUUCUUGUAUACCUGGUUCGUUCUGAACGGAACGAAACGAAGAAAGAAACAUCGAAGGAAACGUGCGGACACUUAGGACUUGGGACUCGCUCUCGGCGACGAGAAACGUUAAACGGAGAUUGCAGCAUCUACGUCUCGAGUUCUUUCUACAGCCAAUGAAGUUACAUCAUUUUAUUGAUCAAAGAACGCGUGAAGGAAUUUUUCAUGUGUGUUUUGCUACCUUCGAC